GACGAACGCUGGCGGCGUGCCUAAUACAUGCAAGUUGAGCGCUGAAGGUUGGUACUUGUACCAACUGGAUGAGCAGCGAACGGGUGAGUAACGCGUGGGGAAUCUGCCUUUGAGCGGGGGACAACAUUUGGAAACGAAUGCUAAUACCGCAUAAAAACUUUAAACACAAGUUUUAAGUUUGAAAGAUGCAAUUGCAUCACUCAAAGAUGAUCCCGCGUUGUAUUAGCUAGUUGGUGAGGUAAAGGCUCACCAAGGCGAUGAUACAUAGCCGACCUGAGAGGGGGAUCGGCCACAUUGGGACUGAGACACGGCCCAAACUCCUACGGGAGGCAGCAGUAGGAAAUCUUCGGCAAUGGACGAAAGUCUGACCGAGCAACGCCGCGUGAGUGAAGAAGGUUUUCGGAUCGUAAAACUCUGUUGGUAGAGAAGAACGUUGGUGAGAGUGGAAAGCUCAUCAAGGGACGGUAACUACCCAGAAAGGGACGGCUAACUACG
Molecule: ribosomal RNA, 495 nt
Filed under: uncultured bacterium
Lineage: Bacteria
Description: partial 16S ribosomal RNA
Rfam family: Bacterial small subunit ribosomal RNA
Source: RNAcentral